GUGAUGAGAAGAGAUGCUUCUAUGUGAUACAUUACUUUGCUAAGCUUGACCCUGUAUUUGCCAGCCAUUUCUACAUGCUACUGUAUUAUAUAUUCUCAUUCUUUGAAGAUGGUAUCGAACAAGAACCCUGUACAUAUCAUACUGUAGAGUUCAUGGAAAGUUAUAGCAACCAGGAUAUGCUUGCAACUGCUCUGAACCUGACUUAAAAGAUGCUUUGUUUCUUUUUCUCUGCCUCCCCCCCGCCCCCUCCCCCCCCUCCUCAAAAAAAAAAAGAAAAAAAAAGAAAAAAGAAAGAAGAAGCAGCAUUCACCACUUCAACUGUAAGCUACAGAUAACUUAUUUAGCUUUACUAGAAUGGCAUCUUUUACCCUUUAAUAAUGACCUUUUUGAGUGUUACCUCUUUUAGUCAAUGUCUUGUUAUGUAUAUGCAGUACUUUGUGCUGUGUACUCUGGUUGCUCUGUGUAUCUUUGUCACUUUUCACUGGUUUAUUCAUUUUUAUCGCUCCCUAAAUAGUUCUACCAUUUAUCGUAGCUGAAAACUUGAGUACAUUACCAUCUAGAUGUAUUGCUGAAUAACUAUUCUUCUACCUUUUGUCUGCUCUUUUUUGCUGGGUCACAUUUAUCGCUGGGUUUGUUGCUUUUGAUUGCUGGGGUGGUGGCGCCUUCAGUGUAUCUAGGUAAGCAGUAUUGUUGACGAUUUGGCUGGUAUUGCAUUUGAUUUGCUUGGAAAAAGGGUAGUUAAUUUAGUUCUCUUUGGAUUUCUCAUGCAGGCAGCUAUGAUUCUGAGGAGAAGGCAGCAAGAGCGCAUGAUCUUGCAGCUCUUAAAUACUGGGGUGCAAGCACAAAUGCCAAACUAAAUUUCCCUGUGAGAUUACCAAUGCAAUCUUGUGUGUGUGCUGUGAGAUUACUAAUGCAAUCUUUUGCAUGCAUGCAUGUGUAAAUAUAUGCAAAUCUUCAAGAGAGUAUAUAUUGUUAAAUCAUCUUUUCUUUUUUUUGCAUGUGAGAAUAACACUACUAGUUUCAUUUCUUGAUCCUCAGGUUUCUGAUUAUGAGAAAGAGAUUGAGACAAUGAAGAACAUGUCCCAGGAAGAGUAUGUUGCCUAUGUACGGAGGUAUGCAUGGUAGAGCCAACUGAUAUCCAAUUUUUUUCAUGGCUUAAUAUAAUAAUUGGUUGCUGGCAUUCUAUCAAUGGCAGAAAAAGCAGUUGUUUCUCUAGGGGGGCAUCGAUUUACAGAGGAGUGACGAGGUUGUUUGUACAUUCUUGUCUAUCUACUUUUUUUUUAAAUGUUUCUUCAUAUAAUGUGUUGAGGUUGAUACUAAUCAAAUCUGUUACUCCUAUCGCACUUGGUGGGGCAUUCUGGUUGAGAAGACGGAAAGAUGGUAAGUGGCAAGCUCGAAUUGGUCGUGUUGGUGAAAGCAGGGAUGCCAAAGAUAUCUACCUUGGAACCUUUGGUAAGCAUUAUACCCCCUAUCAUCGCUCUUCCUUAUCAGAUACUAAAUAGCUUUUGUAGAAGGUUGAGAAAUACCAGUGUUACUAGUAGCUUUCUUCAUUAAAAUCAGAUACUGAGGAAGAAGCUGCAGAAGCCUAUGACAUUGCAGCUAUUGAACUGCGAGGUGUGCAUGCUGUGACUAAUUUUGAUAUCAGCAACUACUGUGAGGGAGGUCUUAAGCGGUUAGAAGGGCCCUGCAAGCUUGAGAUGUGAAGGCCUACAGAUGCUUUAUUGGAAGAUAAAUGUAAAUUUUUUUUUUUCAGGCUGCUGACUGUCCAUCACUGCCCGGAUAUUUUCCAGAAUUUUUCAAAUUUGGAUAGUGUUUUGUCAUAAUGUGCACUGCUGUAAUCCGGUUGGGACGUUAAAGGUUUCAAGUCAAUGAUUGAAAGUACUCUUGUUGACUUUGCUUUUUAGAUGAAGUCAGUGUUCUGGAAUACGGUGUGAAUGGACAAUUUAGUUGCCUUUUCUUUUUAUUUUCCUUAGAUUGAACCAUGUUCCCUUUUUUGUAAGAGAGAAUGAAAGGGGCACAUCAAUAAUAUUAGUUACUCUGGUUUAAAUACUUGCAAUGCACCAAUCACGAUUCAAGCCGGGAAGAAAGAUGCUCAAAUCCUUUUAAAUUCACCAAUCAAGGAGCUCGCAACGUAAAUGCAGUUAGUUGGGAAUUCGGUGUGAUGGCUGUUUUGUGAUAGGUCGAAAAUUCCUUCCCCAGCCCGUGGCCCUUCAGAAAACCAGGUGCCAAGCUGUGGUUUACCCGUGAAAUUAACAUUAUGAGGUAAUAUGGACAUACGUUCAAACUUUUCAAGAAGUUUUCUUGGUUUUACAUGAACCAUUGCCUCUUUCCUGGGAUUGGUGAGGGAGGAAUUGAUGUAGCGUGAUGGGUAAGAGAUUCUGAUUAUUGGUCCUGGGCCACCAGCAGGAUAGUUUGGAUAUACGGGGAAGUAGAGAGGACGACCGGCAGUAGACUGCCAAGCAAGCUAAAGUGGCACUUUGGCCCUCAAAUACUCAGGUCCCUUGUAACAGGGCAUACCACAAAAACAUUUUCAAUCUCAAUUUUGAUGAUACAUCGGUUAAUUUCAACUGCUUUCUGAUUCUUUGGGUGCAGGAUUAUAGUGGCAAAAUCACGAAAGGCAUAGCAAACUGGAGACCAUCCCCUAAGAAUUUUUUCAACGUUUGAUGUCACAUAAAAUCUUGUCCUGAAUCAGUGCAUAACCAGUUGCAAAUACGUAUAACAGUAAUCAAGAAAAGGGAGACAUCAUGUUUAGCCUGAAAAGAGGCAAUAAUGCAAUUAAUCUGACAUUGUGAUGGACACUAGGGCCCUACCGUCGGAAUUAGCUAAUAAGAACAUGUAGCAAGAAGACUCCCUUGCUAAAGAUACACUGUAUCAAGAACAAUUGGCAUCAACACUUGCCUAUCAAAUAUUUCACAUGUACGCAGAAUAUUAAAUGAUGAACAAAAUGGUGAUAAAGAGAGUUGACAGAAUGAUGGAACAAAGAAUAGCACCAUCAGCUACAGGAAAUUUCUAAAUUUAAUGAGUUUAAGAAAUCCUAGUACAAUCAGCAACUGAAGACAAAAGGCAUGAAAAUGAUGUUAAAAAAAAAUGAUGGGCACAGAAAAAUGAUAUGGCAUGACCAAAAGAGCAUGCAAGCCUGUCAUUUUGUAGUCCAAAGAAAAGGAUAAGGCAAGAGCACAAGCUCGAAGAGGAAAUUCAUAUGCCUCAGCUUGUGCAGAUACAUCCCCUCUCCACUCAUGCUGCUGCAUUCUGAUAUAACAAGCCAACGAGGUGCAUGCAGCAUCCACCAGUUGAGGAAAAAAAAGAAAAAUUUACAUUCACCGGUGGAAGGAGCGACUAUAUACAUCAGUAAUUCAGUACUCAGCCUAUCAAGUCAUCCUUUCUGUCAGACACUGAAGCAGGGCCAGAUGUAGAACUUUCUGCAGUCACAAUUGUGUAUUUCUCCUGAAGCCGUGAUCUGUUUUCAGCCCACCACUUUUCUGCUUGUUGCUCACUGAAUCUUUUCCGACUGCACACCAAUCAAGUGAUAAGUAUGCGGUAGUACAGAAAAUUGGUUAGAUGACAGAAAUUCCAAAAAGAUUGUGAACAUGCUAGACCUUUGCAAAUAAAAAUACUCGCAUUUAUGUUCUCCACAAGUGGAAACAAAGUGAUAAAACUUUCAUUCCUGUGAGGCAAUACAAAAAAGUACUUCUAUGUGCAACUCUGUUAUAAGAACAGAAUUACUUGAAUUAAUAGCAUUAUAAUGUUGGCAACAUAUAAUGUGAAAAAGGGGCAAAUUCAUGUGCAUUAUCAUAACGGAAGCAAGAAGUCAUGUGCAUGCACGCAUGCAUGCACAUCACUAAAAGGACAGCUGAAACUGGGUCAGAAUUCAGCAGUCAGAUAGUUUCUUUUAAUAAUCAAGACAUGCAUUUUGUCCAAUAAUGCAAAGAGUGUUGAGGUUUAUAAACAUCAAAAGUUGAGCAAUGUCACUUGAAUAGUGUGUUUGUUGCUUUAGAGGUUUUGACUGUGCCUUUUGUGUUCUUUCUUUCUUUUGCACUGAUUACCCCCAAAAAAAAA
This 4056-nucleotide long non-coding RNA is filed under the name Elaeis guineensis (African oil palm). RNAcentral's name for it is "long non-coding RNA (EGUI_LNC026472)". The record is from RNAcentral. Lineage: Eukaryota; Viridiplantae; Streptophyta; Magnoliopsida; Arecales; Arecaceae.